GAAAGAUUGUUGACACUAUCACACAUCGGUUGUAAAAACUUGGUUGCCAACAAGUCUGGAUCUAACAGUCACAUGAAUUUAUAAGUGCGAGUAAAAGCCUGUUAAUGAUCACUAAUAAGUUUAGACCUAACAAUCACAUGGAAAAGUUACAGAUUAUUCCUACUCCAACUCAAGUUGGAUGUGUGAGAAGGAAAUUAUUGAGGCUAUCGGGAAAGACUAACUUUUAAGAUCGAAAUUUGAAAGUAAAAGGCCAAAGGUCGUCGAGCAAAAUCUAGUAAAUGAGGGUAGGGAAAGCGAGC
RNAcentral lists this long non-coding RNA (299 nucleotides) under Eucalyptus grandis. Its description in RNAcentral is "long non-coding RNA (EGRA_LNC006647)". The record is from RNAcentral. Lineage: Eukaryota; Viridiplantae; Streptophyta; Magnoliopsida; Myrtales; Myrtaceae.